UACAGAGGGGGCAAGCGUUGUUCGGAAUUACUGGGCGUAAAGGGCUCGUAGGCGGCCAACUAAGUCAGACGUGAAAUCCCUCGGCUUAACCGGGGAACUGCGUCUGAUACUGGAUGGCUUGAGUUUGGGAGAGGGAUGCGGAAUUCCAGGUGUAGCGGUGAAAUGCGUAGAUAUCUGGAGGAACACCGGUGGCGAAGGCGGCAUCCUGGACCAACACUGACGCUGAGGAGCGAAAGCCAGGGGAGCAAACGGG
RNAcentral lists this ribosomal RNA (253 nucleotides) under uncultured bacterium. RNAcentral's name for it is "partial 16S ribosomal RNA". It matches the Rfam family "Bacterial small subunit ribosomal RNA", at positions 524 to 776 of the family's 1533-position model. The record is from RNAcentral.